GGGGCCUUAGCUCAGCUGGGAGAGCGCCUGCCUUGCACGCAGGAGGUCACCGGUUCGAUCCCGGUAGGCUCCACCA
Molecule: transfer RNA, 76 nt
Filed under: Halomonas elongata
Lineage: Bacteria; Pseudomonadati; Pseudomonadota; Gammaproteobacteria; Oceanospirillales; Halomonadaceae
Also listed under: 23 other names
Description: tRNA-Ala
Rfam family: tRNA
About the family: Transfer RNA (tRNA) molecules are approximately 80 nucleotides in length.
Source: RNAcentral